This 1211-nucleotide long non-coding RNA is filed under the name Struthio camelus australis. RNAcentral's name for it is "lncRNA (ENSSCUG00000002495.1)". Lineage: Eukaryota; Metazoa; Chordata; Aves; Struthioniformes; Struthionidae. The record is from RNAcentral.
AGCGGGGCUGCUACGCCAGCUUCCCCGGGCAGGGACCAUGAGCCAGGGCACCCGGCGCCAUCUCAGGAACCCCAGUGCCCACAAGAGCGGGCCGUGACCGUCCAAGGCACAAUCCCCCACAUCCAAGGCAGGCCGCUGCACCUGUACACAAACGUCCUCUCAGAGAACCUCGCGGUGCUCUCUAUACAAACCGAGUCUCUGGAGGAGCUCAACAGCAGCUGCCUGGCCCGCACUGGGAAGACCGUGGCCCAGCUACGACAAGCUACUCUCCAGCAGUGGGAGUGCAGCCCAGCGCACGGUGAGGCCCGGCAACACAAGGGCAAGGGAGGACGUUCGACCUUGGCAGCGUCAGGAGCAAUCAACGCCCGACCCUACGAGGUGAGUGCGGAGGACGGGCUGGGGCAGCACGGUCCGGGAAACGGCUGGCAUCUCCCAGCAUUGCCUUUAGCAGGCCCCGUUGCCUUCUAACCUUCCCCAGCCCACGCUGGGGCCAGCCGCAGCACCCUGCCGCCCCGCCUCAAUGUCCCCCGCGUCCCUGGCCCAGCACCGGGCCCUGCCUGCUCUCCAGGAGCCACUUCCCAGCAGGAAACACAGCUCCCUCCACAAACCUCCCUCUCCCCUUCCAGAUCUUCUGCAGAAACUCCUUCCACAACCUGCAGAAACCCGAGGUCACCCGAGUGGAGCUCCUGAAGGACGCGAGCACCAAGGAGGACCUGGUGGAGCGGCUGAUUGCCCACGCCCCCAGGAAGCAGCCCAAGGGCGCAGCAAGGAUGACAGCCCUGGGAGCGCACAGCGGUCAGCAAGGGGAAAACACAGGCAAGGAACAACGGAAGGCAGGUACCCUGAGCACCAGGCAGGACCUGGCAGAGCAGCCGGUCGCCCACGCCCCCACGACGGAGCAGGAGCGGGCAGCAAGGCAGACAGCCCGGAGAGCAUGCAGGGCUAGGCAAGGGAAAACGGCAGAGAAGACAGACAGGAAGAAAGACCCUAAGAACAGGGCUGUAAACGUGGGGCAGCGGCAGGAGCCCAUGGCUCCCCUUCCUCCCACACCCAUCUCUGCCCAUCCCAACACCCCGCCUCCCAGGCGACGGCCCUCGCUCCUCAGCAGGGCGCUGCGGGCUCUGCGCGCAGCUUUCUGCUGUGCCGCAGGCUAGCAGCAGGGACUGCGCGAGCCUGCAAGGGCCAGGCGCCUCCCCUCAGCUCGCGGCUGG